Molecule: unclassified non-coding RNA, 229 nt
Filed under: plant metagenome
Description: partial contains small subunit ribosomal RNA, internal transcribed spacer 1, and 5.8S ribosomal RNA
Source: RNAcentral
UCUCCGUAGGUGAACCUGCGGAGGGAUCAUUACAGAGUUCAUGCCCUACCGGGUAGAUCUCCCACCAUAUGUUAUUAUUACUUUGUUGCUUUGGCGGGCCGUUAGGCUCCGGCCCGACUACCGGCCCCGGCUGGUAAGCGCCCGCCAGAGGACCCAAAACCCUGAAUAUUAGUGUCGUCUGAGUACUAUAUAAUAGUUAAAACUUUCAACAACGGAUCUCUUGGUUCUG